RNAcentral lists this signal recognition particle RNA (101 nucleotides) under Gemmatimonadota bacterium. RNAcentral's name for it is "Gemmatimonadetes bacterium signal recognition particle sRNA small type". It matches the Rfam family "Bacterial small signal recognition particle RNA". Rfam says of the family: The signal recognition particle (SRP) is a universally conserved ribonucleoprotein involved in the co-translational targeting of proteins to membranes. Archaeal SRP consists of a 7S RNA and homologues of the eukaryotic SRP19 and SRP54 proteins. In most bacteria, the SRP consists of a 4.5S RNA and the Ffh protein (a homologue of the eukaryotic SRP54 protein). The record is from RNAcentral. Lineage: Bacteria; Pseudomonadati; Gemmatimonadota.
GAUUGGAUUCUGUGCAACGAAAAGUUUCUGAAUUCCGUCAGGACCGAAAGGUAGCAGCGGUAGGAACNCAUUUUCGUGUGCCGCAGAACAGUCCGAUUUGA